Molecule: transfer RNA, 74 nt
Filed under: Candidatus Zhuqueibacterota bacterium
Lineage: Bacteria; Pseudomonadati
Also listed under: 1 other name
Description: candidate division KSB1 bacterium (freshwater sediment metagenome) tRNA-Lys
Rfam family: tRNA
About the family: Transfer RNA (tRNA) molecules are approximately 80 nucleotides in length. Their secondary structure includes four short double-helical elements and three loops (D, anti-codon, and T loops). Further hydrogen bonds mediate the characteristic L-shaped molecular structure. tRNAs have two regions of fundamental functional importance: the anti-codon, which is responsible for specific mRNA codon recognition, and the 3' end, to which the tRNAs corresponding amino acid is attached (by aminoacyl-tRNA synthetases). tRNAs cope with the degeneracy of the genetic code in two manners: having more than one tRNA (with a specific anti-codon) for a particular amino acid; and 'wobble' base-pairing, i.e. permitting non-standard base-pairing at the 3rd anti-codon position.
Source: RNAcentral
GAGGGCGUAGCUCAGUUAGGUAGAGCAACGGCCUUUUAAGCCGUGGGUCGAGAGUUCGAUUCUCUCCGCCCUCA